Molecule: ribosomal RNA, 497 nt
Filed under: uncultured bacterium
Lineage: Bacteria
Description: partial 16S ribosomal RNA
Rfam family: Bacterial small subunit ribosomal RNA
Source: RNAcentral
GAUGAACGCUGGCGGCGUGCCUAAUACAUGCAAGUCGAGCGAACAGACGAGGAGCUUGCUCCUCUGACGUUAGCGGCGGACGGGUGAGUAACACGUGGAUAACCUACCUAUAAGACUGGGAUAACUUCGGGAAACCGGCGCUAAUACCGGAUAACAUGUUGAACCGCAUGGUUCAACAGUGAAAGACGGUUUUGCUGUCUCUUAUAGAUGGAUCCGCGCCGCAUUAGCUAGUUGUUAAGGUAACGGCUUACCAAGGCAACGAUGCGUAGCCGACCUGAGAGGGUGAUCGGCCACACUGGAACUGAGACACGGUCCAGACUCCUACGGGAGGCAGCAGUAGGGAAUCUUCCGCAAUGGGCGAAAGCCUGACGGAGCAAGGCCGCGUGAGUGAAGAAGGUCUUCGGAGCGUAAAACUCUGUUAUUAGGGAAGAACAAAUGUGUAAGUAACUAUGCACGUCUUGACGGUACCUAAUCAGAAAGCAACGGCUAACUACGUG